Molecule: long non-coding RNA, 2021 nt
Organism: Gasterosteus aculeatus aculeatus (three-spined stickleback)
Lineage: Eukaryota; Metazoa; Chordata; Actinopteri; Perciformes; Gasterosteidae
Source: Ensembl
CCCCGUGGUUCUGUGCCUCCAGGAGCCGGGGGGGCGGCGCGGCGGCCAUGUUGGAGUCCGGGGAUCUGCGCUCUUCCCGCUGUGCUCGUCUUCGGCCUCGCCGCCAUCGCUGGCCUCUGCCUGCACUCAGCUGCUCUCAAAAUCAAGUGAAGUUUGAAUAUUUCAAAAACAGCUGAAGAGUCUCUGCACUAUUCCAGUCUGAAGCAUGGAGACAAGCCCCGCCCCUUCGGCCGAGGAGCAACAGGAUUGGUCGAAGUAGACGUCACAUACUCCACAGUGACGACUCGCAAGAACCCAAAAGCGUAACGUGAAUGUAACUUAAUGGAGAUUUUAUAAAGCUAUAUUUUUUUAUUUUUAUGCCUUUCAAACAAAUCAAUUUCUAUUUUUUAACUAUAUUUUUUCUCUUUUUUUCGUACUAAAGCUCAUUUGUUCUGUCAACACUUUGUAUUUUCAUCAUUAAUAGAUCCUUUGACGUAACAAUGCUUUAACUGGUCAUUUAUGAGACGCUUGCUAGCAACAAACACGUCUAUGGUCGUAAAUAAAUGUUUAAAAGUUUGUAAUAGACAAAAUCAUUUUAUUAAUAAAAGCAAAAGUAAAGUGGGAAACAUUUCAACAAUCCGUUUACAACAGUUUAUAGGCUAACGUGAAGUCAUGUGACCGAGGUGGAGUUCCUUUACACUUCAAACGUCAUCAAAGUUCAAUAGUGAAGAAAAUUCUCAUUCGUCACCGGUGUAAAAUCCUCCAAAUCAGAUAUUUAAUGUUUGCAAACAGGUGACACACAAGUCAUGCAGCACAUGCAGCACAUGCACCACAUGCAGCACAUGCACCACAUGCAGCACAUGCACCACGGCUACAUGUCUUCCUCCAGAGCAGGAACAUAAAGAUGCUAAAACAGGCUCUGCAAACAUCAACGCACAAACAUCUUGAUCAUCAGAUGACCCAGAACGCGUGUCCCUCUCAGUGGAGGAGGACAGACUGAUGACUGAGGGGGAACAUUAUGGCAGUUUUUACAACAAUUAUCUUGGAAGAAUCGGAGACGACAGUUUGACUCACACACACGCUGACUGUUCCAAAUAGUCUUUUUGUGGAGGGAACCGCUGUGAUGCUUGAAAAACACACGAUGACGAUCAUCUGAGGGACCGAGGACACGCCCACUUUUGCCGUAUUGGUGGAACAAAUAAGGAGUAACAUCCAGAGACCAUCAGCAGGUUCAGUUGGCAUCGCAGAGGCCAGAUGUGUGCAGCGUCAGCAUCUGGAUCGAGAACGUUAGCGUCCGACUCCGGUGACUCAUUCCUCAAAAACCUUUCAGUUCCCUGAAGGCCUCCUCCUCUGCUCUAGUUUAGACCAAAGCUCACGCUGCAGCUGCAGCAUCGCUCACAAUGUGUCUCGUCUGUUAUUUACUCACAAAGAAGUGUACUCACGAAGAAAACCUCUAACUUGUAUUACUAGUAUCAUGUUUGUGUAUAAUUCAGACCGUGGGAACUUCAAGUAUUAAGCAAUAAGUGCUUCCCUCUUUAUGACCUCAACCGUCCUCCAAGCAGAAGAAACCAAAACCACAACAUCAGACCAGCUUCCUCCAGACAGCUUCACUGCUGAUCCAUCACACCGAAUACGUUCUGAAUCUGAAUAUUUGGCUCUUUGAUUCUGAAUAUCAUUAUUUAAGGAGCGAAUAAUACAUUUUAUUUGAACACAUAUUAUCACCAAAAAAAUUGUGAUUUUUGUCAACUAAAGUGUUGAAGUGUCUUCGCCUUCAGGGUGGAACCCAGUUUCUUUAUAAAACAUUUUCAUUUUUUUAUAGAAUUAAUCGCUUCAAUACACAAAAACAGAUCAACUCACAACACGUGAGGGAAGAACCGGAGGUUGCUGCCUGGUCCAAAGCAAACGUUAUCACGCUAUUCACCUGUGACCCCCGUGUCUAAACGCCUCUAAUCGAGGUGGAGCACUGAAAGAGGGCGUCUGUGUUGUUUGCAGGUCCUUUGGGUUCCUUCAGAAAACAAUACGGGUUUUCAGGGAGCUGUGAC